Molecule: long non-coding RNA, 2949 nt
Organism: Glycine soja
Lineage: Eukaryota; Viridiplantae; Streptophyta; Magnoliopsida; Fabales; Fabaceae
Exons: 2
Source: RefSeq, a predicted model, not a curated record
UUCCAUGAGGUUGAUGUUUUAUAAGAACCGCUAUCUUCCAUGGUGUGACAUAUUCAGCUUUCAUAGAGCUUUUGUUUGAUACGUUUUUCUCUCCUCAUUCUCAAGCCUUCAUCUUCUUCAGGUGCCAAAAACUGUCUUCAUCUUCCCUCUCCUGGCUCUCCAUAACUCCAUUAUUCUUCGAUUCUAAUGCUUUUUCACUAUCUAAUCGACCAGUUUCUUUCCUCUGGUGGCCCUUUAAUUAUAUUCUUACUAUACGGUGUAACGAAGGUGAGAAGCUUUAAUUGGCGAGGCUGACUUGGGAAGAAAGAAAAGGAUCAGUAUAUAUAUAUAUAUAUGGAGGUGAAUUAUUCAUGCUUAAUUGUUAACUCAUGUGGAUGAGAUUUAUACAACAUCAUGUACUAAUAAUCUGUGUGCAUAUCACCCCACUCCCAUCUCAUUUCUAAAGAAUAUAGUAUAUAUACACGUACACUAGCUCAUUCAAUAUAUUUCUAAUCAGCAUCAUAGAUAUAUAUGUGUUACAUUAAGCGAAGACUACCCCCCCCCCCCCCCCCCCCCCCAAUAUAUCCUUUGGCAAAUAAGACCUAAGAUCUAAGAUCGAUUGAUAUUUUGAAGAAAUUAAUAUAUAGACGACGGCAUAAAAGUAAAACAUGAAUUUAAUUUCAGAGAUCAAGCAAUUUUCUGAAAAACUCAUCACUGCCACUUGAUUAUGAUCUGUUCCAAGAAAUGAAAAGAUUUUAUCUAUCUAUCUUGAAGUUUUAGUAUUAUUUUCUCAGUUUUAGGGCUAUUAUUUCCCAGGAUUAGGGCUUGGACUAUUUUCUCAGUUUUAGUAUUAUUUCAAACUUGACUAAUUAUGUGUUAAAAUGAAUUAGUCUCACAUCAUAACUAAAAGUUGUAGAGGAUAUAUAUAAAGAAGAAGAAAAUUUAAGUGAAAUCAAUUUUGUUUAGAUAGAAACUCCUUAGUUAAUAUAUGGUUGAGAGAUAAACAUGUUUCUUUAGUAUGUGCAUUGGUUCAAUUUCUAUAUCUAGUAUAAAAAAAUAUUUGUUAAAAGAAUUUAAUAUCUUAAAUAAAUUUUAAUACUUCAAAAUAUUAGUCUCUGAUUUUCAGGUAGAGGAUACUCCAGGUUUGUAAAAAGAAAUUCCUUAAUGUAAUUUAAUUAAUUAUAAAUAUAAUAUCAUAUUUAAACCAAGAAUAGAGUAGGAAAAAGAAAAGGAAUAGAAAUAUGCUUGUUUUGAUACACGAAAGGUCCACCACAAUAUGCCAUAUCAUGAUAUCAAUAUAUAUGUAUGGUCUCAUCCAAAUACAUGAUGGUGUUGUUGUUCAUAAUGGACAAGGUAAUCUUGAUCAAGAGUGGAAAUGCAUGUCUUGAGGGUUUUAUUCGUGGUUGUGAAUGUAUGGUGAUGAGUGAUGAGAUAUCUCAUGUUGACAGAAGAGAGAGAGCACAACCCGGGAAUGGUUAAAGGAGUCUUUGCCUUUGUUGGGAGUGUGCUCUCUCUUCCUCUGUCAUCAUCACAUUCACAUGCCUUUUCUUUCCAGCCAAAGUAGACGUGUACAUACAGCAGCAUUGUCUUAUUACCAUUCAAGAAUGAUGCCAAGGGCCCAUAUUAUUAGCAGGGCUCUGAUUGCAAUUUCUGAAAUGAAGCAUUACUCUACUACAGCACGAUUGCUAAAACAGUAAAACCUCAAGACUUUGUACAAACCCGAUCAUCCUUUAUCCUACUUGGUUAGUAGCAGCAAUGUACAAACAUCUAUGCCAAAUUUCUACUUUCCUCAUUUUGUACACUUCAAAAAUCGCAAACACCAUAACAUGAAAAAACACGGUUCGUGUCAUUUAGAACUAUGACCAAAACAAAAGAAUAAGCUUCCUCUGUUGUGCGUUGAAGUUGAACAUGAAAUUCGGUGGAUUAGCUCUGUGAAUGAACGACCAAUAUGCAUAAUGCAUGAGUUCCUAGUUUUUAAGACCAUAGAAUGGUAGAGUAGCAUUAGAAGUGAUCACCAGAAACAAUUAAAAGAAUGAAAGGAAUAAGUUCAGUUGAUUAGUGAAUUUUGAUCUCGCACAUAGACUGGCUGCUGGUACCGAACUCUUCUUCAUCCGCCUCUGAAACAAUGUCCUCAAUAGUGAGAAGCAGAGGCAGGUCAGAAGAGAAGGUGAGUGUUGGCUUCACUUUCAGCACAACAAGUGGUGCAGCCACAUUGUUGAGAAUCUGCAGCACUCUUCUCAUGGAGGGUCUCUCAGCACUAUCAGGAUUAGCAACACAGCUCAACCUCAUCUCCUCCUCCUCAAACUCCCCAUUCAACCUCUUAUCAGCUGCCUCAAUCACUUUCCCUUCAGAGUGAAGCCCAUGUUUGGAUUUGGUGAAGGUCGGUGGUUCGAGGGGUUUUGAUUUAGAAGAACUAGUACGUGAAUAGCUCAAGAAAACGUUGAGCAAUGUGUGUUCGGUGUUGUAGUCGAUCCAUGCAGUGAUGGUGUUGCCGCUCUUGAGGUCGAGGCGGGCAUCGAACUCGACGGCGACGAAGGAGAGGGAGAGGAAGAGGAAGAAGGCGAGGCCGUCGCCGGAGGAGCCUCCAAGUUCAAUCAAUCGAUGAAAAAGCAAGUUAUUUUGUAUUUUAAUGGUUUCAGGUCAUGGAUGUUCCACUGCCACCGAUUUGAUUAAUAAUGAACCCUCCCCUGGAAACACGAGAAAGUAUGUUCCUGUCUGUACUGUGAGUGAAUUAUGACAUUCUUUUUCUGUAUCCCAUUAAACAGCAGCAAGAUAUGUGUAAUUCUGGUGGCAACUGGUAGCUUUAAUCCACCCACUUCAUGCAUUUACGGAUGUUUUUGGUCAGUUGCGUUUAUAGCUCAGAUUCUUUUUUCUUUUUUCUUUUUUCAUUUCCUUAAGUUUACUUUGUAGAGAAUUGUUAUUCUACUGCCCUGAGACAUCUAUACUGCUUUGGCGCUUAUAAAACUCAAA